RNAcentral lists this ribosomal RNA (518 nucleotides) under uncultured Glomus. Its description in RNAcentral is "SSU rRNA". It matches the Rfam family "Eukaryotic small subunit ribosomal RNA", at positions 569 to 1089 of the family's 1831-position model. The record is from RNAcentral. Lineage: Eukaryota; Fungi; Glomeromycota; Glomeromycetes; Glomerales; Glomeraceae.
AGCAGCCGCGGUAAUUCCAGCUCCAAUAGCGUAUAUUAAAGUUGUUGCAGUUAAAAAGCUCGUAGUUGAAUUUCGGGGUUAGUAGGUUGGUCAUGCCUCUGGUAUGUACUGGUCUCACUGAUUCCUCCUUCCUGAUGAACCGUAAUGCCAUUAAUUUGGUGUUGCAGGGAAUCUGGACUGUUACUUUGAAAAAAUUAGAGUGUUUAAAGCAGGCUAACGCCUGAAUACAUUAGCAUGGAAUAAUGAAAUAGGACGUUCGAUCCUAUUUUGUUGGUUUCUAGGAUUGACGUAAUGAUUAAUAGGGAUAGUUGGGGGCAUUAGUAUUCAAUUGUCAGAGGUGAAAUUCUUGGAUUUAUUGAAGACUAACUACUGCGAAAGCAUUUGCCAAGGAUGUUUUCAUUAAUCAAGAACGAAAGUUAGGGGAUCGAAGACGAUCAGAUACCGUCGUAGUCUUAACCAUAAACUAUGCCGACUAGGGAUCGGAUGAUGUUAAUUUUUAAUGACUCAUUCGGCGUCCG